UAGUCUCAUAAAUCAGAAAGAAGUUCUUUGGGGGAUGCUUGAAGAUUCUUUAGAAGAACGGUUAGAAAAGACUGGAGGUUCUGUUCCAGAUUCGGAAAAGUUUGAUGGAGAUCCGAAGGAAGGAGAAGUGGAAGAAAACAAGAAGAAGUCAAUUGAAGGUGGUAAACAUGGUGCACCUCUUAAAAAACUAAAGAAGGACAAAGUUGGGAUUGCAACAGGGAAAUCUUCUCGUACAGAGAGCAGCACAGUGACAACUGCACCACGUGUCAAACCGGAACUUGCUUUACCUGCUAUACCUGUAGAGGUAGAACUUUCUAUUCUGGAAGACUUGAGGAACCGCGUACAGUUGAGUAAUGCAUCAUUGCCCUCUGUUAGCUUCUAUACAUUUGUUAAUACACACAAUGGACUAAACUGUGCAUCAAUAUCACAUGAUGGAUCACUAGUGGCUGGUGGAUUCUCAGAUUCAUCUGUGAAGGUCUGGGACAUGGCAAAGCUUGGGGAACAAACUGGUCCAUCUUUUUUGCAGGGGGAGACUGAUUCACCUUCAAGUGAGCAUGUGCUUGGCGCAAAUGGUGGAAGAAGAUGUUAUACAUUACUUCAGGGCCAUUCAGGGCCUGUUUAUUCUGCAUCAUUCAGUCCGCACGGGGAUUUUCUUCUUUCUUCAUCAUCAGAUUCAACUGUUCGCUUAUGGAGCACAAAGUUAAAUGCUAAUGUUGUUUGCUACAAAGGCCACAAUUACCCAGUAUGGGAUGUUCAGUUUAGCCCAGCUGGACAUUAUUUUGCCAGUUCUUCACAUGACCGCACUGCAAGGAUCUGGUCUGUGGACAGGAUACAGCCUCUAAGAAUAAUGGCCGGACACUUGUCAGAUGUAGAUUGUGUGCGAUGGCACGCAAAUUGCAAUUACAUUGCAACCGGAUCAAGCGACAAA
Molecule: unclassified non-coding RNA, 928 nt
Filed under: Hevea brasiliensis (rubber tree)
Lineage: Eukaryota; Viridiplantae; Streptophyta; Magnoliopsida; Malpighiales; Euphorbiaceae
Source: RNAcentral